This 227-nucleotide long non-coding RNA is filed under the name Elaeis guineensis (African oil palm). RNAcentral describes it as "long non-coding RNA (EGUI_LNC081134)". The record is from RNAcentral. Lineage: Eukaryota; Viridiplantae; Streptophyta; Magnoliopsida; Arecales; Arecaceae.
CACCCGAUGCCUCCCCGCAAAGCAUCCACCAGGCGAUCCACGACCUCCGCGGCCAGAUCUCAGGCUCCGACCUCACUUCCAGUUUUUCAGGAUCCUCCUCCUCUGGCAACGGCGGUUGGUGCGGAGCAAUUCGACCUGCUGGUUCAGCAGGUCAAAGGCCUCACUGAAGCGGUGCAGGCCAUGCAACAGCAACAACAGCCGCAGGCAUCGGUGCAGUUGGAGAGAAC